Long non-coding RNA from Drosophila innubila, 631 nucleotides. RefSeq lists it as uncharacterized. The transcript is spliced from 2 exons. Lineage: Eukaryota; Metazoa; Arthropoda; Insecta; Diptera; Drosophilidae. The record is from RefSeq and is a predicted model, not a curated record.
UGAAAACAGUGAGAUCGACAUGAAACGCUCAAUACAACUCAUUAGUACUGUAGCUAUCGGUAGACCUAAAUCACAGGGUGACCAACUAUUUUUGACUCAUUCAGAUAGAUAUCGACCGGUGCUUUUUACAAGAAUUACUUGGAAUCUACAAGUAUACGUAUGCAACCGAAUUAUAAUAGUGUUACUUUUGCGUUUAGUUCUAACUCCGAAAAUUCCAUAUCCGGAAACGGGCAUUUGACUUGGAAUAUCAUUUGGUUAUCUCUAAUACUACUUUUAUCGUCCAACUAGACUUAAAUGUAUAUCAAAUUAUCAGAUAUUAAGAUAGGUUCAAAGUUGAUCUGUCAUUUAGUUUAGCAUUUAUUGCCAAGCAUCGAUAACAAGUCGAUAGGUUUUACUGAAUAUCAAUUGCUUGACAAACUUUUCUUAUUUGGGAUUUGUUUCAUAGAUUUCAAAUAUCAGUAUCUUCAAUGACAAAUCCUUAAAAAAAAAAUAAAAAAAAAAAAUUUAUUAAAAACUAAAUGACUAGAACAAUUUUGCCAAGUUUUUUUUUUUGGUUUCUCAAAUCAAAUUUUUAAGCAAGUUUUCCCCUAAUCCAACCACCAAGCACCCACCCACCCCCUCUUAAAGACAC